RNAcentral lists this transfer RNA (68 nucleotides) under Neohirasea stephanus. RNAcentral's name for it is "tRNA-Tyr". Lineage: Eukaryota; Metazoa; Arthropoda; Insecta; Phasmatodea; Lonchodidae. The record is from RNAcentral.
AGUAAGAUGGCUGAGUUAUAUUAGGCAAUAAAUUGUAAAUUUAUUUACAGGUGAAUACCUUCUUAUUA